Molecule: ribosomal RNA, 472 nt
Filed under: uncultured organism
Description: partial 16S ribosomal RNA
Rfam family: Bacterial small subunit ribosomal RNA
Source: RNAcentral
UACACUCCUACGGGAGGCAGCAGUGGGGAAUUUUGGACAAUGGGCGCAAGCCUGAUCCAGCCAUGCCGCGUGCGGGAAGAAGGCCUUCGGGUUGUAAACCGCUUUUGUCAGGGAAGAAAAGGUUCUGGCUAAUACCUGGGACUCAUGACGGUACCUGAAGAAUAAGCACCGGCUAACUACGUGCCAGCAGCCGCGGUAAUACGUAGGGUGCAAGCGUUAAUCGGAAUUACUGGGCGUAAAGCGUGCGCAGGCGGUUAUGCAAGACAGAGGUGAAAUCCCCGGGCUCAACCUGGGAACUGCCUUUGUGACUGCAUGGCUAGAGUACGGUAGAGGGGGAUGGAAUUCCGCGUGUAGCAGUGAAAUGCGUAGAUAUGCGGAGGAACACCGAUGGCGAAGGCAAUCCCCUGGACCUGUACUGACGCUCAUGCACGAAAGCGUGGGGAGCAAACAGGAUUAGAAACCCCUGUAGUCC